RNAcentral lists this long non-coding RNA (1410 nucleotides) under Canis lupus dingo (dingo). RNAcentral's name for it is "lncRNA (ENSCAFG00020019558.1)". Lineage: Eukaryota; Metazoa; Chordata; Mammalia; Carnivora; Canidae. The record is from RNAcentral.
AUGAAGGAGGCUGGAGGCUCAGGCCCCCGGCCCUGCAGGGCGCGCAGGGGGGCGCGCAGGGGGGCGCGCAGGGGGGCGCGCAGGGGGGCGCGCAGGGGGGCGCGCAGGGGGGCGCGCAGGGGGGGCGCGCAGGGGGGGCGCGCAGGGGGGCGCGCAGGGGGGCGCGCCGCAGGCACAGCCCGGGCCGCCGCCUCCCCGCCGCGCUCGCGGUUCCGCUCCCCUCCCCUCCCCCUCCCUUCCCUUCCCCCGUCCUCCCCCCCCCCCCCCCCCCGCCGCAAAAUGUCCGCGGCGGCGCCCGGAGAAGCAGGAAGUCCGAGCCGGGGCGCGCGGGGGGCACACCCGGCCCGGGAGCCCGAGCCACCCGCCCUCGGCGUCCGCGGGGCCCGGCCGGGGCGGAGGGGGCCCCAGGCGGCCGCGAUGGGUGUGACCCCUUCCUUCCGCCGCUGCCGGGUGACAGCCGGGCCCCGCCCGCGCCCUCCGGCCCGCGCCCUCCGGCCCGCGCCCCGCGCCCCGCGCCCCGGCCGCGCACGUCCCGCCGGCCGAGCGCCCCCGCCCGCCCCGCUCCCUGACAGAACCCGGACCCGCGCGAGCCCGGACGGCGCCGCGAGGGGCGCGCACCCCUCCCCGCGCUCCCCGGGGCCCCAGAGGCGCGGUGCCUCCCCCACACACGCUCCCCUCGCCUCGCCUCGCCCGCGGGCGGGGACAGGCCGGGGGCCGCGCGGCGGGGACGGGACGGCGGGGGAGCCGCUCCCGCGGGGAGCCUCGGGCCCCGCACUCACCUCAGCUCCUCCGCCGGGGCGUUGGCAGCACUGCGCGGGGUCUCCUCGGCUGCCGGACAGGGGCACGCGCCUGACGUCAGCACGCAGGCGACGCAGGGUUGGGUGCCCGCGGAAGUGGGCGGGGUCCAGAGGCGAGCCCGGGCCGAGCGGUUGGAGGCGGGGCCUGAGUCACUCCCCCGCCCCCGCCCCCGCCCCCUCCCCCGCCCCCACCCCCGCCCAGGUUCACGCCGACGACCGCGCAUGCGCCGCCGGCCAGCGCGGCUGCCUAGAAGCUCAGCGGUUGAGCCACCGCUGUUUGCAAAGCUCGGCCACCCACAAAGAUUUUGUUCCAUUCAACCUUCUGAGGCUGAAGUGUUAUCAUCCCUCUUUGGCAAAAAAAAAAAAAAAAGACGGAGGCUUGGACUUGCAUGGAGGCAAUGACUUACUUGCCUGGGACACCCCCCUCCCAGGCCUGCCUGCCUGCCUUGGGUCCUUCAUCCGCCUGCACCACGCUGUCCCUUGCCCCAGACACUUAGGCAGUAUCUUGGUUUCGGGACUUCCUGCCACAAGGCCUCGCACUCUUUCCCCCGGCUCCUUCCUCUGCUCACCCUGUGCUCCCAGCACCUGCUUAUCACCUGUCCGUCCUUGCUAG